Lutra lutra (Eurasian river otter) is the source of this 717-nucleotide long non-coding RNA. RefSeq lists it as uncharacterized. The transcript is spliced from 3 exons. Lineage: Eukaryota; Metazoa; Chordata; Mammalia; Carnivora; Mustelidae. The record is from RefSeq and is a predicted model, not a curated record.
CCAGGGAAUAGUGCUGAGAGUAGCAGAAGCGUCCGGGACUGGGGAACGCUGAGGGUUGACCUGGAAACCUCUGGGAGGCCAGUCCAGAGGGAAGGGGCCCCGCACCUGGCCCAAGGAAGAAUGGUGGUGGUGAAUAAGUUGGAGGUAGACUUGGUGAUGUCCUUGUUCCUCUCCUCUCCUCCAUCUUGUUCGUAACGGAAUAUCACAGUGAAAACCACAGUUCAGAAAUUACCUAUUCUCUUUCUGCCUUAUGAGGAGACAAAAUACCAAAGCCUCAACCGUAUCUGAUUCACAGGUGGAAGCAGAUAAUUCUGAGCCCCAGGAAAUAAUGGAGGCAGAAGAUUAACAAGUCUCCUGUGUGAGUCACCAGAUGGAGGACAGCUGCAAACCAAGCAGGACACCUGUGGCAAGAAAUCAACUAUUGUAUGAAGUCACUGAAAUCAAGAGGGUUCUUUGUUAGAGUAGCUGACAUUGUACGCACGGAUACUCUGACCCUUCCUCUCUGGUCCCCUGAUAACAGUAAACCUUGGACACCCGCCUGUCAUUCUGCGACAUGAACCUCUAAUCCCCAGUUGUGGUGUCCAGGCUUUCAUAUAGCAGUUUCAUACAGUGGCCCAAAGGCUUUAUGUUUACUAAUUAAAAAUUACCAGUAUAGGGGCGCCUGGAUGGUUCAGUGGGUUAAAGCCUCUGCCUUCAGCUCAGGUCAUGAUCCCAGGG